Molecule: long non-coding RNA, 1214 nt
Organism: Ctenopharyngodon idella (grass carp)
Lineage: Eukaryota; Metazoa; Chordata; Actinopteri; Cypriniformes; Xenocyprididae
Exons: 3
Source: RefSeq, a predicted model, not a curated record
CCGCGCGCGUUGAUGUGAUUCGCGCACUGAUCUGAGGACAGUUGUGUGGUUUGCUUUUCCAUGGUGAAGAUCUGAUUCUGGAUGUAGGGAGAGGAAACUGAACGGCAUAUGAGACGACGACGGGUGGAAAAGUUUUGUUAUCGAUAAAGUGCAGUGACGACAUCUGCCGGUGGAAAGAUCACAUGACAACGUCAGUAAUCCCAACAGCAGUCAUAGGGAAGUCUGCUGACUUGACAGUUGUCCAGAAGACAAUCAUCAAGAACCUCUACAAUGAGGGUAAGCCACAGAGGGUCAUUGCUGAAAGAGCUGGCUGUUCGCAGAGUGCUGUGCCAAAGCAUAUUCAUGGAGAGUUGACUGGAAGGAAAAAGUGUGGUAGGAAAAGGUGUACAAGUGAAAGGAAUGACCACAGGCUUGAGAAGAUUGUCAGGCGAAGCCGAUUUAAGAACUUAGGAGAGCUUCAAAAGGAGUGGACUGAAGCUGGAGUCAGUGCAUCAAGAGCCACUGCACACGGACGUCUUCAUGAAAUGGGCUACAACUGUCACAUUCCACGUACCAAGCCACUUCUGAACCAAAGACAACGUCAGAAGAAGUGUCUUACCAGGGCUAAGGAGAAGAAGACUGUUGCUCAAUGGUCCAAAGUCCUCUUUUCAAAUGAGAGUAAAUUUUGCAUUUCAUUUGGAAAUCAAGGUCCCAGAGUCUGGAGGAAGAGUGGAGAGGCACAGAAACCAUGUUGCUUAAAGUCCAGUGUGAAGUUUCCAAAGUCAGUGAUGAUUUGGGCUGCCAUGUCAUCUGCUGGUGUUGGUCCACUGUGAUUUCUGAAGUCCACAGUCAACGCAGCCAUCUACCAGGAAAUUUUUGAGCACUUCAUGCUUCCUUCUGCUGACAAGCUUUAUGGAGAUGCUGAUUUCAUUUUCCAGCAGGAUUUGGCACCUGCCCACACUGCCAACGGUACCAAAAGCUGGUUCAGUGACCAUGGUGUUACUGUGCUUGACUGGCCAUCAAACUCACCAGACCUGAACCCCAUAGAGAAUCUUUUUUUUUAUUGAGUGCAUAGAAAUGAACAUACUUUUCAGAAGCCUGACAUUUCUGUUUAAAAUAUCCUUUUUUUUAUUGAUCUUAUGAAGUAUUCUAAUUUAUUGAGAUAGUGAAUUGGUGGGUUUUUGUUAAAUGUGAGCCAAAAUCAUCACAAUUAAAAGAACCAAAGACUUAAAGUA